ACGGCUGUUUACAAUCAAACUGAUGCAGUAGCCUUGUCAUGGCAAGAUUUCGGGAAAGAUAUUUAUCCUGUUUGAAAACUUAAGGCAAAUUUUGGUCUAAGUGUCCUUAAUAGUUAGUGUACAUGAUGUUUCAUGAUUAUUUAAUUCCUAUUUAGAAUUAUUUUAGAGCUUUUUCUAGUUUGGGAUUCCUAAAUCCAAAUGAGAGGAAUGCCAAAAUGAG
Molecule: unclassified non-coding RNA, 220 nt
Filed under: Hevea brasiliensis (rubber tree)
Lineage: Eukaryota; Viridiplantae; Streptophyta; Magnoliopsida; Malpighiales; Euphorbiaceae
Source: RNAcentral